RNAcentral lists this ribosomal RNA (203 nucleotides) under uncultured bacterium. RNAcentral describes it as "partial 16S ribosomal RNA". It matches the Rfam family "Bacterial small subunit ribosomal RNA", at positions 524 to 726 of the family's 1533-position model. The record is from RNAcentral.
UACGUAGGGUGCGAGCGUUAAUCGGAAUUACUGGGCGUAAAGGGUGCGCAGGCGGUUAUAUAAGACAGAUGUGAAAUCCCCGGGCUCAACCUGGGAACUGCGUUUGUGACUGUAUGACUAGAGUACGGUAGAGAGGGGUGGAAUUCCUGGUGUAGCAGUGAAAUGCGUAGAUAUCAGGAGGAACAUCGAUGGCGAAGGCAGCC